CCUACGGGUGGCAGCAGUAAGGAAUAUUUGUCAAUGGACGAGAGUCUGCACCAGCCAAGUAGCGUGAAGUCUGACUGCCCUCUGGGUUGUAAACUUCUUUUAUAUGGGAAUAAAAUGUUACACGUGUGGGAUUUUGUAUGUACCCUAUGAAUAAGGAUCGGCUAACUCCGUGCCAGCAGACGCGGUAAUACGGCGGAUCCGAGCGUUAUCCGGAUUUAUUGGGUUUAAUGGUCGCGUAGGUGGAUUGUUAAGUCAGUUGUGAAAGUUUGCGGCUCAACCGUAAAAUUGCAGUUGAAACUGGCAGUCUUGAGUACAGUAGAGGUGGGCGGAAUUCGUGGUGUAGCGGUGAAAUGCUUAGAUAUCACGAAGAACUCCGAUUGCGAAGGCAGCUCACUGGACUGCAACUGACACUGAGGCUCGAAAGUGUGGGUAUCAAACAGGAUUAGAUACCCUGGUAGUC
RNAcentral lists this ribosomal RNA (460 nucleotides) under uncultured bacterium. Its description in RNAcentral is "partial 16S ribosomal RNA". It matches the Rfam family "Bacterial small subunit ribosomal RNA", at positions 338 to 795 of the family's 1533-position model. The record is from RNAcentral.